GUACACGCUGUGACUAGCAUAUCAAUAAGCGGAGGAAAAGAAACUAACAAGGAUUCCCCUAGUAACGGCGAGUGAAGCGGGAAGAGCUCAAGUUUGAAAUCUUAGAGGGUUUCCCUUUACGAAUUGUAGUUUAAAGAAGUGUUUUUCUGUUGAGGUUUUGGUAAAAGUUCUUUGGAAUAGGACAUCAUAGAGGGUGAGAAUCCCGUAUUUGACCUUUACUUUCAACUUUGUGAUACACUUUCAAAGAGUCGGAUUGUUUGGGAAUGCAGUCCAAAAUGGGUGGUAAAUUUCAUCUAAAGCUAAAUAUUGGCGAGAGACCGAUAGCGAACAAGUACCGUGAGGGAAAGAUGAAAAGAACUUUGAAAAGAGAGUUAAACAGUACGUGAAAUUGUCAAAAGGGAAGCGUUUGACACCAGUGUUGUUUUUCUGAAAAUCAAUUAAAGAACUGUUUAUGCUAAGUUGUUUAGACUUUAUCAGCUAACUGUUUAGUUUUGAGCUUUUCUUUAAUUGCACUUUUCAGUUAACAAGUCAACAUCAAUUUCUUUUUGCUGUAAAAAAGCUUGAGGAAGGUGGCUUGAGAUUCGUCUUAAGUGUUUAUAGCCUCUUGCCUAUGCAGUCGGAGAGAUUGAGGUCUGCAGCGUAGAUCCUUCGGGGCUAAAUGCAUUUGUGCUAAGUUAUAGCAUUUUAUAGACAACUUGUUGACUAUGAUUUGUCUUGUAGCUUACAUCGCUUAUGUUAUUUUACCUACGCUUAGGAUGUUGACAGCAGUAUAGACUGU
This 778-nucleotide ribosomal RNA is filed under the name uncultured Neocallimastigales. Its description in RNAcentral is "partial large subunit ribosomal RNA". It matches the Rfam family "Eukaryotic large subunit ribosomal RNA", at positions 22 to 637 of the family's 3401-position model. Lineage: Eukaryota; Fungi; Neocallimastigomycota; Neocallimastigomycetes; Neocallimastigales. The record is from RNAcentral.